RNAcentral lists this ribosomal RNA (448 nucleotides) under uncultured bacterium. Its description in RNAcentral is "bacterial SSU rRNA". It matches the Rfam family "Bacterial small subunit ribosomal RNA", at positions 329 to 793 of the family's 1533-position model. The record is from RNAcentral.
GCCCAGACUCCUACGGGAGGCAGCAGUGGGGGAUAUCGCACAAUGGGGGAAACCCUGAUGCAGCGACGCCGCGUGGGUGAAGAAGUAUUUCGGUAUGUAAAGCCCUAUCAGCAGGGAAGAAAGAAGACGGUACCUGACUAAGAAGCCCCGGCUAACUACGUGCCAGCAGCCGCGGUAAUACGUAGGGGGCGAGCGUUAUCCGGAUUCACUGGGUGUAAAGGGAGCGUAGACGGCCGUGCAAGCCAGGAGUGAAAGCCCGGGGCCCAACCCCGGGACUGCUCUUGGAACUGUGCGGCUGGAGUGCGGGAGGGGCAGGCGGAAUUCCUGGUGUAGCGGUGAAAUGCGUAGAUAUCAGGAGGAACACCGGCGGCGAGGGCGGCCUGCUGGACCGCGACUGACGUUGAGGCUCGAAAGCGUGGGGAGCGAGCAGGAUUAGAUACCCUUGUAC